Cloeon dipterum is the source of this 878-nucleotide long non-coding RNA. RefSeq lists it as uncharacterized. The transcript has 4 exons. Lineage: Eukaryota; Metazoa; Arthropoda; Insecta; Ephemeroptera; Baetidae. The record is from RefSeq and is a predicted model, not a curated record.
AAGAAAGUGCAAACAAAUCUCACUUGCAUUCGAGUAUUCAAAGGAGCAGUAUUUCAAUUCAGAAGUAGAGCUUGAAUAUUGAAUAUCCACAUUAGAGAUGACAGGUAUACUUCUUAUUUUGGCUUUGACAGCAGCAACAACAGUGGCUGGCAUUCGUUACGAUUGUUUAAAUAUUGACGACUUGAUAUUUCUCGGCUCCCAGUGUCUGGAUUAUGCGCCAAAUGCAGACCAACUGUUGAGACAAACUUGUGCUGAUAGAAAAAUUUCUUUUCCUAGUCUGAUUUCGUGCAAAAGUCCUACAUUACGAGGGAAUGAAACUAAUGUAAACUGCGGGACUACGUGCUUUGCAUGCACAAUUUCCAGCCUGGAUUUCGACAAUUGUACCGCAAUUGAGGGCACCAAUACGAUGCUUUGUGCAUGCAAACACGACCAAAGUGUUUACUCGCUGCGUUGCACGCAAAAUGGCUCGUUGGCAGACCCGAAAACUGGAAGCCACGAACUGGGCUGCCGCCCCGAAAUCAGGUUAAGGCAAAGCAGGCCAUACGCAUUCGGAAGAUUUGGCGAUAAUAAUUACACCAUGACUAGUACAGACCGGCCUGUUCCAAACUGGCAUACUGGAAACUCGGUCCAAAUGACAAAAUCCUCAAUCAAUCCCUGGAUGUGGGCCUUCAUCGUCGUAAUUAUCGUUGCGACUGGCUUUGCUUUGGUGUUUACCGUAAUGGUAUGCAAAAGUCAACGAGAAAAAAACGGAAUGGAGAGAAUAGAAUGAUUUCUUACUCUCCGCUAGAAAUUGAAAUGAGAUUUGUUAAUCAGGUUGUCCAGAAAUAAUUGUGUUUUUUAUCUAAGGUGAUUUAUUUCAUGGUGUUAAGUUAUAUUUA